RNAcentral lists this ribosomal RNA (581 nucleotides) under Cyphellophora suttonii. Its description in RNAcentral is "eukaryotic LSU rRNA". It matches the Rfam family "Eukaryotic large subunit ribosomal RNA", at positions 57 to 652 of the family's 3401-position model. The record is from RNAcentral. Lineage: Eukaryota; Fungi; Ascomycota; Eurotiomycetes; Chaetothyriales; Cyphellophoraceae.
AAAAGAAACCAACAGGGAUUGCCUUAGUAACGGCGAGUGAAGCGGCAACAGCUCAAAUUUGAAAUCUGGCCUCUUUGGGGUCCGAGUUGUAAUUUGGAGAGGAUGUUUCGGGUACGGUCCGGGCUUAAAUUUCUUGGAACAGAAUGUCACAGAGGGUGAGAAUCCCGUCUGGAGUCCGGACACGGCCUAUGUGAAACUCCUUCGACGAGUCGAGUUGUUUGGGAAUGCAGCUCUAAAUGGGUGGUAAAUUUCAUCUAAAGCUAAAUAUUGGCCAGAGACCGAUAGCGCACAAGUAGAGUGAUCGAAAGAUGAAAAGCACUUUGAAAAGAGAGUUAAAAAGUACGUGAAAUUGUUGAAAGGGAAGCGCUGGCAACCAGACUUGCACGUCGGGGUUCCCCCUUGCUUUUGCCUGGGUUACUCCCCGGCGUUCAGGCCAACAUCGGUUUCGGGGGUUGGUUAAAGGCCUUGGGAAUGUACUUACCCUCCGGGGUAAACUUAUAGCCCAGGGUGUCAUGCGACCUCCCGGGACCGAGGAACGCGCUUCGGCUCGGAUGUUGGCGUAAUGGUUGUCAGCGACCCGU